AUUGAACGCUGGCGGCAUGCCUUACACAUGCAAGUCGAACGGUAACAGGUUAAGCUGACGAGUGGCGAACGGGUGAGUAAUGUAUCGGAACGUGCCCAGUCGUGGGGGAUAACUGCUCGAAAGAGCAGCUAAUACCGCAUACGACCUGAGGGUGAAAGCGGGGGAUCGCAAGACCUCGCGCGAUUGGAGCGGCCGAUAUCAGAUUAGGUAGUUGGUGAGGUAAAGGCUCACCAAGCCGACGAUCUGUAGCUGGUCUGAGAGGACGACCAGCCACACUGGGACUGAGACACGGCCCAGACUCCUACGGGAGGCAGCAGUGGGGAAUUUUGGACAAUGGGCGCAAGCCUGAUCCAGCUAUGCCGCGUGCGGGAAGAAGGCCUUCGGGUUGUAAACCGCUUUUGUCAGGGAAGAAAAGGUUCUGGCUAAUACCUGGGACUCAUGACGGUACCUGAAGAAUAAGCACCGGCUAACUACGUG
This 477-nucleotide ribosomal RNA is filed under the name uncultured bacterium. RNAcentral describes it as "partial 16S ribosomal RNA". It matches the Rfam family "Bacterial small subunit ribosomal RNA", at positions 30 to 507 of the family's 1533-position model. The record is from RNAcentral.